CAACCAUAAGGCUUUACUACUGCCUAAAUUCAAUCUAAGUAACCCCCCAUAUUCACCCUCAUUAAUCCUAAUAAAACCUAAUAACUUGCUGCCCAAAACCCUUUCACUUCCCCUUCUUUCACAUACAAUAAAAAGCCAAAACUCAUCAGUUUUUCUCCACCAAAAGAUGCAGCAACUCACCCCUCUUCUCUCCAUCUUUUUCGUGGGAUUCAACGUGGAAAUCAAAGGGAAAACAAAGCCUAACUUGCUGCUAUAAUCUCUGCAAUUUCGUGCUCCAUCUCUUCUCUAAAACAGCACAAAAACGAAGCAAGGGAGCAAGGCUGCUUGGGUGGAUGAUUGUUCGUGUGUUUGCUGCUGUUUGUGCUUGGUGUUGCUGCCCUUUUCUUUGGGUUUUGAUGGCCUAUACAUCAAGACCUAGGUAAAGCUUGGCUUUGCCAAUCGAAGUUAGGUAGUCUCCCGUUCAGGCGUAAUUCCGCUAACGCUUUCAGUUCUAAAAGAACAGCGUGUUGUUGCAGAGCUGUGGGAGGAAAAAAGAAGGGUGCUAAGGAUCGUGCUACAUCCAGAUGGUGAUGCGGGAGGAACUGAAAAAAAAAGAUAGAGAAAGAGAAGGCGGAGAAAGAAAAGGAGGGUGCUGAGAAGAAAACUGAGGGAGAUUCUCACUAAAACUAUAGCAGAUUCAGAGUCUUGCAGUUUCUCUGAUUGCUUCGUGGGAAAUAAAUGUAUAUUGUACUCAAGUGAAUCUGUAUGUCCUGUAUAGCUUGCCUAGACAUUGGGUACAAUAUUGUUCAUGAACUUGUUGUAUCAGUUGUCCCUGGUUUGAGAUUCUGUUAUAUGCGAUCUUACUUAGUUGAGAACCUGAGACUGUUAUGUACUGUACAAUCUUGUUUAAUGAGUUCAGGCAAGUUGUCUUCUUUGUUUGGUUAU
Chenopodium quinoa (quinoa) is the source of this 924-nucleotide long non-coding RNA. RefSeq lists it as uncharacterized. The transcript has 4 exons. NCBI's taxonomy places the organism in Eukaryota, Viridiplantae, Streptophyta, Magnoliopsida, Caryophyllales, Amaranthaceae. The record is from RefSeq and is a predicted model, not a curated record.